This 465-nucleotide ribosomal RNA is filed under the name uncultured bacterium. RNAcentral describes it as "partial 16S ribosomal RNA". It matches the Rfam family "Bacterial small subunit ribosomal RNA", at positions 338 to 795 of the family's 1533-position model. The record is from RNAcentral.
CCUACGGGAGGCUGCAGUAGGGAAUCUUCCACAAUGGGCGCAAGCCUGACGGAUCAACACCGCGUGAGUGAAGAAGGGUUUCGGCUCGUAAAGCUCUGUUGGUGGAGAAGAACGUGCGUGAGAGUAACUGUUCACGCAGCGACGGUAUCCAACCAGGAAGUCACGGCUAACUAGGUGCCAGCAGCCGCGGUAAUACGUAGGGGGCAAGCGUUAUCCGGAUUUAUUGGGCGUAAAGCGAGCGCAGGCGGUUGCUUAGGUCUGAUGUGAAAGCCUGCGGCUUAACCGAAGAAGUGCAUCGGAAACCGGGCAGCUUGAGUGCAGAAGAGGACAGUGGAACUCCAGGUGUAGCGGUGGAAUGCGUAGAUAUAUGGAGGAACACCAGUGGCGAAGGCGGCUGUCUGGUCUGCAACUGACGCUGAGGCUCGAAAGCAUGGGUAGCGAACAGGAUUAGAUACCCCUGUAGUC